Molecule: non-coding RNA, 197 nt
Organism: Pantoea sp. At-9b
Lineage: Bacteria; Pseudomonadati; Pseudomonadota; Gammaproteobacteria; Enterobacterales; Erwiniaceae
Source: Rfam
ACUUCCUAAGCCGGAACGAAAAGAUUUCUGGAAAUGUGCGUUAGUUCGCAGACUUUUGGAGAGCUUUUGGCUUGUGGUCGUGAUGUUGUGUUUGCAUUUUGAUCUGACGAUUGCGGAUCAAGCUUUUAAUUCCUGUAGAUUUACCCUGUCUGUCCAAAGUGAUUUACAUAGCACCGCAAAUUGCGGUGCUUUUUUUU